UCAGAUUUUAUGAGUGGAAUAGAGAGAGAGAGAGAGAAUGAAUAGAAACUCAUAUUCAUCUCCAUCUUCAUUUUUGCAACUCACGACAACCUCCACUAAAUCGGCCAUAACUUUCUGCUCACAACUCCAAAUUAGGCAAAAAUCAAGUUUGAAGAUUGCUGAUUCAUGCUGAAUGUGGAUAUGAGCGUGGUUACGAAUUUGAUGAAGAAGGAGGUGAAGUUUGACCAAGAGAAGAGUUCAAUGGCUGCAUGAGCUUCAUCUUAACCUCUAUUAAUCCAAGUUGCUACAAAUGCAAGAAUUAUGCUGCCUGAAGAAGAGGAUUUGAAAGACCAGAUGAAUAAUAUUGGUGGUGGAAUAGCUGAAGGAGGCGGUGGAAUAAAUGAACCCUGUUUUACUUACAAUCAUGAUGAAUACGGGUGUCAACCUAAAUUCGUAGUCCCUAAAAUCGAAGUUGAAGGAGGCGGUGGAAUAAAUGAACCUUAUUUUACUUACAAUCCUGAUGAAUACGGAUAUCAACCUACAUUCAUAGUCUCAAUUGUUGGUCAACCUUGAGUGAUAAGUUACUUAUUAUAGAAUUUACUUUUUUAAAUAAAUAAAAUAAU
This is a long non-coding RNA of Vicia villosa (hairy vetch), 602 nucleotides long. RefSeq lists it as uncharacterized. NCBI's taxonomy places the organism in Eukaryota, Viridiplantae, Streptophyta, Magnoliopsida, Fabales, Fabaceae. The record is from RefSeq and is a predicted model, not a curated record. The transcript is spliced from 3 exons.